Long non-coding RNA from Poecilia latipinna (sailfin molly), 2200 nucleotides. RefSeq lists it as uncharacterized. The transcript is spliced from 2 exons. Lineage: Eukaryota; Metazoa; Chordata; Actinopteri; Cyprinodontiformes; Poeciliidae. The record is from RefSeq and is a predicted model, not a curated record.
AAAGUCUGAUGUUUUACACUCUGCGUGGGUUCCUCUGUUAUCUGUGUGUAGCACACACUUGUGGGAACGUGCGCUGGGAGUUUGCGAUUCAGGCUGUGCCUGCGUGAGAUUGCAAGCUCUCAUGUCCUGCUGUGCGCAUGUUAACCACACUCAUCCUGUACGUCGAGCCACUCGCCUGGGAACCGAUCUGCUCCGCCUUACGCUCAACACCACCGCCGCCACCCUCAUCCUACCCCUCCCAUCUGUUUUCCUCUCUCUACCCGCUGUGGGUCUCAGUGUUUCUAUGCCUCGAGGUGAGAAAGUCACGUUUUUAGCUACAACUCUGCAUGGCUGAGCUUUGAGUGAGUCCUGAAUUUCCAGAAGAGAUGUCCCUGAAUGGGAGGACCCCUUAGUGACCCGAGUCGGGCUGCAGAAAGCGAAAGCGUUUCAGUCCACAGUAGUGACAGGAUGUUAUUCUAGCAAGCACUUUAGUGUGUUUCUCCCCAGAAGCACAAAGAACAACAAAAAAUGAACACUAGAGCAGGGAGAGGGUUGCAUAUCACGGACAUGCGCGAGUGUCCAGAUUGCACGUCAGUGUCACCACCAGAUCGUGAGUAAUAUCCCGCAACCAAUAGAAAUCACAAGACAAAAAACUCAAAAUGCAGUUUUUCAAACCCAAUGAAAAAGAAAGAAGCAGAAAUGUUAUGAUGAGACCUACGCAACACUGCUAAGUUGAUUCCUGACCCCUUCCACGAGAAAGGGGAAACUGAUAAAUUACUGUAUUCAAGCUUAUGUUGCUUUUUCCUUCCACUCGAUUUUCCAGAGACACCUGAAGCCUUGAGAGCAGGGUAACAUAAAGCUCAUUUACGAUGCUGAGUAAAACUCACAGGGCAUGGACUGAGGCUGGAGCCUGGACCAACUCUAAACAUCUUGAUGUAACUUUACAUCUUGCAUAAUUGUUCAGGCAAUAAACCACAAUGGCUGUGGUCCCCAAACUAAGGAAAGACCUUCACACAGAAUAUCCAUGACAACUCUCCAUCUCCUCUUUGCCCCUUAUGUCUUAUUAAUAGUACUACUUAAGGAUUUUUUAAAGAUGUAAUAAUAUUAACAAUACUAUCAUCAUUUAUUAAUGUGUUUCACAUCCACCACAUAAUGAAAAUUUUACACAAAAAAGGUAAACCUCAGAAACUUAACUUUUUAAAGAUAAAGCAAAUUAAACAAAUACACUUUGUGAUGCUAAAAUCAGCUUACCUAACAUUUUAAAUACAUUAUCUUUUACAGAUAUUUCUCCUUUAGUGCUCUUUCUUAUGUCUCACCAGUUUUUGUAUAUUAUGAUCAAAGUACUAAAACAAAUUGUGGUGAUCCUGGGUGCUCGGGUGGUUUUCCUGCUGCUUCUCGCUCUUUCCACCAGGGGCCGCCUGGUGGAUGAUCUCUGGUGGGCGUGACCAGGGACGCUGGGAUCCUCACACCUGUCGGAGAUUUUCUCAUCUCCGAAGAGAUUUAAGAGUGGAGUCAACCAACACAUCGAUGCCAGAUUGUUAACCAGUAAUGACAACCUCCUCGAGACGUCCUGGGUCACCCCCCGAGGCUUUGAGUUCCUGGCUGUACCUGACCCUCUUACCCCUCGCCGGUUGCCCACCUCGAUCUGCCCCGGUAAGCUGAGGCCCGCAGCUGUCCGCCCUCUGACGCCGUCUGCUGGUUUCCCCCCUACACCGGCUGGUCCGCAGCAGAUUGCCACACCCGAAACGACCCCAGGAAAUACCAGUAUCCACCCCCGCUUACCUGCCGCCUGACAGUAAGAUUGGUCCCGCUCAUUCAGAACCCGGACAUCCACAGACCUUUACUCAUCACUCAUCCUCUCUUCCAGCCCGUUCCUGCUGCCGAGUUCCUUGAACCCUGCUGAAGCUCUAUUGUUUUGUUGUUUUUUUUCAUUAAACAUCUUUUACUGAUACUUGGUUCUCUUGUUUCUGCAUGUGAGUCAAAAAGUUACCUCCCAGCAUGACACAAAUAAGCGGAAAUGAUUUUAACAAAAAAACAAUUCAAACUUGAGUGUCUGUUCUAAAAACGCAGCUUCCAACAUGGUGCUGGUUUUCAGGGCCAGGCUGCUGCUCGCAACAUGGCCGACACUAGAGUAUCUUUUCUAUCAUGCAACAAAGUUGAAUGAGUUUCUACUACUUUGUUUCUAUGCUUCGGUUUAUUGUAACGGGGGAGAAAAAAAAAA